This 1432-nucleotide ribosomal RNA is filed under the name uncultured organism. RNAcentral describes it as "SSU rRNA". It matches the Rfam family "Bacterial small subunit ribosomal RNA". The record is from RNAcentral.
CUUAACACAUGCAAGUCGAGGGGCAGCACAGGUAUCUAUACCGGGUGGCGACCGGCGCACGGGUGAGUAACGCGUAUGCAACUUGCCUAUCAGAGGGGGAUAACCCGGCGAAAGUCGGACUAAUACCGCAUGAAGCAGGGGCCCCGCAUGGGGAUAUUUGCUAAAGAUUCAUCGCUGAUAGAUAGGCAUGCGUUCCAUUAGGCAGUUGGCGGGGUAACGGCCCACCAAACCGACGAUGGAUAGGGGUUCUGAGAGGAAGGUCCCCCACAUUGGUACUGAGACACGAACCAAACUCCUACGGGAGGCAGCAGUGAGGAAUAUUGGUCAAUGGCCGAGAGGCUGAACCAGCCAAGUCGCGUGAGGGAUGAAGGUUCUAUGGAUCGUAAACCUCUUUUAUAAGGGAAUAAAGUGCGGGACGUGUCCCGUUUUGUAUGUACCUUAUGAAUAAGGAUCGGCUAACUCCGUGCCAGCAGCCGCGGUAAUACGGAGGAUCCGAGCGUUAUCCGGGUUUAUUGGGUUUAAAGGGUGCGUAGGCGGCCUUUUAAGUCAGCGGUGAAAGUCUGUGGCUCAACCAUAGAAUUGCCGUUGAAACUGGGGGGCUUGAGUAUGUUUGAGGCAGGCGGAAUGCGUGGUGUAGCGGUGAAAUGCAUAGAUAUCACGCAGAACCCUGAUUGCAAAGGCAGCCUGCCAAGCCAUUACUGACGCUGAUGCACGAAAGCGUGGGGAUCAAACAGGAUUAGAUACCCUGGUAGUCCACGCAGUAAACGAUGAUCACUAGCUGUUUGCGAUACACUGUAAGCGGCACAGCGAAAGCGUUAAGUGAUCCACCUGGGGAGUACGCCGGCAACGGUGAAACUCAAAGGAAUUGACGGGGGCCCGCACAAGCGGAGGAACAUGUGGUUUAAUUUGAUGAUACGCGAGGAACCUUACCCGGGUUUGAACGCAUUCGGACCGAGGUGGAAACACCUUUUCUAGCAAUAGCCGUUUGCGAGGUGCUGCAUGGUUGUCGUCAGCUCGUGCCGUGAGGUGUCGGCUUAAGUGCCAUAACGAGCGCAACCCUUGCCACUAGUUACUAACAGGUUAGGCUGAGGACUCUGGUGGGACUGCCAGCGUAAGCUGCGAGGAAGGCGGGGAUGACGUCAAAUCAGCACGGCCCUUACAUCCGGGGCGACACACGUGUUACAAUGGCGUGGACAAAGGGAUGCCACCUGGCGACAGGGAGCGAAUCCCCAAACCACGUCUCAGUUCGGAUCGGAGUCUGCAACCCGACUCCGUGAAGCUGGAUUCGCUAGUAAUCGCGCAUCAGCCAUGGCGCGGUGAAUACGUUCCCGGGCCUUGUACACACCGCCCGUCAAGCCAUGGGAGCCGGGGGUACCUGAAGUCCGUAACCGAAAGGAUCGGCCUAGGGUAAAACUGGUGACUGGGGCUAAAU